GAUGAACGCUGGCGGCGUGCCUAAUACAUGCAAGUCGAGCGAACAGACGAGGAGCUUGCUCCUCUGACGUUAGCGGCGGACGGGUGAGUAACACGUGGAUAACCUACCUAUAAGACUGGGAUAACUUCGGGAAACCGGAGCUAAUACCGGAUAACAUGUUGAACCGCAUGGUUUAACAGUGAAAGACGGUCUUGCUGUCACUUAUAGAUGGAUCCGCGCCGCAUUAGCUAGUUGGUAAGGUAACGGCUUACCAAGGCAACGAUGCGUAGCCGACCUGAGAGGGUGAUCGGCCACACUGGAACUGAGACACGGUCCAGACUCCUACGAGAGGCAGCAGUAGGGCAUCUUCCGCAAUGGGCGAAAGCCUGACGGAGCAACGCCGCGUGAGUGAAGAAGGUCUUCGGAUCGUAAAACUCUGUUAUUAGGGAAGAACAAAUGUGUAAGUAACUAUGCACGUCUUGACGGUACCUAAUCAGAAAGCCACGGCUAACUACGUG
RNAcentral lists this ribosomal RNA (497 nucleotides) under uncultured bacterium. RNAcentral describes it as "partial 16S ribosomal RNA". It matches the Rfam family "Bacterial small subunit ribosomal RNA", at positions 28 to 507 of the family's 1533-position model. The record is from RNAcentral.